RNAcentral lists this ribosomal RNA (1546 nucleotides) under Escherichia coli. RNAcentral describes it as "bacterial SSU rRNA". It matches the Rfam family "Bacterial small subunit ribosomal RNA". Lineage: Bacteria; Pseudomonadati; Pseudomonadota; Gammaproteobacteria; Enterobacterales; Enterobacteriaceae. The record is from RNAcentral.
AAAUUGAAGAGUUUGAUCAUGGCUCAGAUUGAACGCUGGCGGCAGGCCUAACACAUGCAAGUCGAACGGUAACAGGAAGAAGCUUGCUUCUUUGCUGACGAGUGGCGGACGGGUGAGUAAUGUCUGGGAAACUGCCUGAUGGAGGGGGGAUAACUACUGGAAACGGUAGCUAAUACCGCAUAACGUCGCAAGACCAAAGAGGGGGACCUUCGGGCCUCUUGCCAUCGGAUGUGCCCAGAUGGGAUUAGCUAGUAGGUGGGGUAACGGCUCACCUAGGCGACGAUCCCCUAGCUGGUCUGAGAGGAUGACCAGCCACACUGGAACUGAGACACGGUCCAGACUCCUACGGGAGGCAGCAGUGGGGAAUAUUGCACAAUGGGCGCAAGCCUGAUGCAGCCAUGCCGCGUGUAUGAAGAAGGCCUUCGGGUUGUAAAGUACUUUCAGCGGGGAGGAAGGGAGUAAAGUUAAUACCUUUGCUCAUUGACGUUACCCGCAGAAGAAGCACCGGCUAACUCCGUGCCAGCAGCCGCGGUAAUACGGAGGGUGCAAGCGUUAAUCGGAAUUACUGGGCGUAAAGCGCACGCAGGCGGUUUGUUAAGUCAGAUGUGAAAUCCCCGGGCUCAACCUGGGAACUGCAUCUGAUACUGGCAAGCUUGAGUCUCGUAGAGGGGGGUAGAAUUCCGAGGUGUAGCGGUGAAAUGCGUAGAGAUCUGGAGGAAUACCGGUGGCGAAGGCGGCCCCCUGGACGAAGACUGACGCUCAGGUGCGAAAGCGUGGGGAGCAAACAGGAUUAGAUACCCUCGGUAGUCCACGCCGUAAACGAUGUCGACUUGGAGGUUGUGCCCUUGAGGCGUGGCUUCCGGAGCUAACGCGUUAAGUCGACCGCCUGGGGAGUACGGCCGCAAGGUUAAAACUCAAAUGAAUUGACGGGGGCCCGCACAAGCGGUGGAGCAUGUGGUUUAAUUCGAUGCAACGCGAAGAACCUUACCUGGUCUUGACAUCCACGGAAGUUUUCAGAGAUGAGAAUGUGCCUUCGGGAACCGUGAGACAGGUGCUGCAUGGCUGUCGUCAGCUCGUGUUGUGAAAUGUUGGGUUAAGUCCCGCAACGAGCGCAACCCUUAUCCUUUGUUGCCAGCGGUCCGGCCGGGAACUCAAAGGAGACUGCCAGUGAUAAACUGGAGGAAGGUGGGGAUGACGUCAAGUCAUCAUGGCCCUUACGACCAGGGCUACACACGUGCUACAAUGGCGCAUACAAAGAGAAGCGACCUCGCGAGAGCAAGCGGACCUCAUAAAGUGCGUCGUAGUCCGGAUUGGAGUCUGCAACUCGACUCCAUGAAGUCGGAAUCGCUAGUAAUCGUGGAUCAGAAUGCCACGGUGAAUACGUUCCCGGGCCUUGUACACACCGCCCGUCACACCAUGGGAGUGAGUUGCAAAAGAAGUAGGUAGCUUAACCUUCGGGAGGGCGCUUACCACUUUGUGAUUCAUGACUGGGGUGAAGUCGUAACAAGGUAACCGUAGGGGAACCUGCGGUUGGAUCACCUCCUUA